Molecule: ribosomal RNA, 468 nt
Filed under: uncultured bacterium
Lineage: Bacteria
Description: partial 16S ribosomal RNA
Rfam family: Bacterial small subunit ribosomal RNA
Source: RNAcentral
GACGAACGCUGGCGGCGUGCUUAACACAUGCGAGUCGAACGGAAAGGCCCUGCUUUUGUGGGGUGCUCGAGUGGCGAACGGGUGAGUAACACGUGAGUAACCUGCCCUUGACUUUGGGAUAACUUCAGGAAACUGGGGCUAAUACCGGAUAGGAGCUCCUGCUGAAUGGUGGGGGUUGGAAAGUUUCGGCGGUUGGGGAUGGACUCGCGGCUUAUCCGCUUGUUGGUGGGGUAGUGGCUUACCAAGGCGUUGACGGGUAGCCGGCCUGAGAGGGUGACCGGCCACAAUGGGACUGAGAUACGGCCCAGAGUCCAACGGGAGGCAACAGUGGGAAGUAUUGCACAAUGGGCGGAAGCCUGAGGCGGCAACGCCGGGUGCGGGAUGACGGCCUUCGGGUUGUAAACCGCUUUCGCCUGUGACGGAGCGUGAGUGACGGUAAUGGGUAAAGAAGCACCGGCUAACUACGUG